AGAGCUUAAGAUGGUUAAAGAAAACUUAGUUUGAUAGAAUUCUGUCUGGCAAGAAACCACUUAUCAACAGUUGUGGUUGUGAAACCCUCAUUUCUUUAUUGUUUUGUCUUUAUGGCCCCCAUUUCUCUAUUGUUUGUCUCUAUGGUCUCUGUCUGGCUCUUUGAUUGUGUCUGUCUGUUGCAUAACUAAUUUUGCUAGGUGUAAAUCAAUUAAGGUGGUGGGGUAUGAUUGGUUAAAAGAUUGUUUUACAACAUGUUAGGAUUGGUUAGAGAAUUGUUUAGUAAUAACUUAGUACAAUGAUUGGUUAAGGUACAGCUAAGCAGGACUCAAGUUUCUCUAUUUAAACUGGGGUCCGAGAAGGAGACCAGCAGAAGGAACAGAAGAAGAAGAAGAAGGAAAGACCUGGAAGAAGAAGAAGAACUCACCUCUAAGACACAGCCUAAGAUCAGAGCUGUUAAGAAUCCUCUGCACGACUGAGAUGUGCAGCAACCAGAAUCCAGACGAGACCGACCUUGCCUGGCCGACAGGGAAAGUCCGCCUGCCUGAUCAGGACCGAAAACAGGUUUUGUCCAGCAAACCUGAAUCAAUUCUUCGAUGACAUAAGAAGAUUGGCUGACGGAGGUCAUUGUCCCACUCUGCUCGGCACUGGGGAGGCCUCAGCUGGAGUCCUGUGUCCAAUGCUGGGCACCGCGCUUCGGGAAGGAGGUGGACAAACUGAAGAGUCCAGAGGAGAGCAAGAAAAAGGGAAGCCAGUGCAGGUGAUCGGCCGUUGCAACAACUCCCGAGGGCAGUGGGCAAGUCUCCAUCCCUUGACGUCUCCAAGUCCAGCUGGCGGCCUUUCUGAAGACGUUUGAGCACAACACAGUAGGGCCCUGCAACCCAACCCAGCCCAGCCCCGAUGGGGUCCAACACAAGCCUUGGGUUUGGGUCAGGUCAGGAAACGCCCCAGCCCCAGGGGCUCAGGCAGGGUGGGGCUGAAGCAGUGGCCCCCGCCCCCGCUGGCCGCCUCCCUGCACUGGGUGCGCUGCGGAGUGAGUGAGUCGCAGCGCCCCUCGCUGGGCAGCACGCACACAGCAGGAGCGGGCACACAGCCGCCCGCGCCGGUGCCCACCCCCUGGGCAGGA
Chelonia mydas (Green sea turtle) is the source of this 1124-nucleotide long non-coding RNA. RefSeq lists it as uncharacterized. NCBI's taxonomy places the organism in Eukaryota, Metazoa, Chordata, Testudines, Cheloniidae. The record is from RefSeq and is a predicted model, not a curated record. The transcript has 4 exons.